AACGAACGCUGGCGGCAUGCCUAACACAUGCAAGUCGAACGAUGCUUUCGGGCAUAGUGGCGCACGGGUGCGUAACGCGUGGGAAUCUGCCUUGGGGUACGGAAUAACUCAGAGAAAUUUGAGCUAAUACCGUAUGAUGUCUUCGGACCAAAGAUUUAUCGCCCUGAGAUGAGCCCGCGUAGGAUUAGCUAGUUGGUGGGGUAAAGGCCUACCAAGGCGACGAUCCUUAGCUGGUCUGAGAGGAUGAUCAGCCACACUGGGACUGAGACACGGCCCAGACUCCUACGGGAGGCAGCAGUGGGGAAUAUUGGACAAUGGGCGCAAGCCUGAUCCAGCAAUGCCGCGUGAGUGAUGAAGGCCUUAGGGUUGUAAAGCUCUUUUACCCGGGAAGAUAAUGACUGUACCGGGAGAAUAAGCCCCGGCUAACUCCGUGCCAGCCGCCGCCGUAA
RNAcentral lists this ribosomal RNA (449 nucleotides) under uncultured bacterium. RNAcentral describes it as "partial 16S ribosomal RNA". It matches the Rfam family "Bacterial small subunit ribosomal RNA", at positions 29 to 523 of the family's 1533-position model. The record is from RNAcentral.